ACUGAUGAGCUUGAAUACACCAAGUCCCAUUGUAUCCUGGAAGCUCAGCAGAGUUGAACCCUGUUUGUAUUUGGAUGGAAGACAUUCAUGGAAGAGCUAGCUCAUUU
This 107-nucleotide ribosomal RNA is filed under the name Eptatretus burgeri (inshore hagfish). Lineage: Eukaryota; Metazoa; Chordata; Myxini; Myxiniformes; Myxinidae. The record is from RNAcentral.